AUACGGAGGGCGCGAACGUUGCUCGGAAUCAUUGGGCGUAAAGCGCACGUAGGCGGCCUGAUAAGUCGGAUGUGAAAGCCCUCGGCUCAACCGAGGAAGUGCAUUCGAAACUGUCAGGCUUGAGUAUGGGAGAGGGUUGCGGAAUUCCCGGUGUAGAGGUGAAAUUCGUAGAUAUCGGGAGGAACACCAGUGGCGAAGGCGGCAGCCUGGACCAAUACUGACGCUGAGGUGCGAAAGCGUGGGGAGCAAACAGGAUUAGAUACCCCAGUAGUCC
Molecule: ribosomal RNA, 274 nt
Filed under: uncultured bacterium
Lineage: Bacteria
Description: partial 16S ribosomal RNA
Rfam family: Bacterial small subunit ribosomal RNA
Source: RNAcentral